This 317-nucleotide ribosomal RNA is filed under the name uncultured soil bacterium. RNAcentral describes it as "bacterial SSU rRNA". It matches the Rfam family "Bacterial small subunit ribosomal RNA", at positions 26 to 342 of the family's 1533-position model. The record is from RNAcentral.
AGAUUGAACGCUGGCGGCAGGCCUAACACAUGCAAGUCGAGCGGCAGCACGGGUACUUGUACCUGGUGGCGAGCGGCGGACGGGUGAGUAAUGCCUAGGAAUCUGCCUGAUAGUGGGGGAUAACGUUCGGAAACGGACGCUAAUACCGCAUACGUCCUACGGGAGAAAGUGGGGGAUCUUCGGACCUCACGCUAUCAGAUGAGCCUAGGUCGGAUUAGCUAGUUGGUAGGUAAAGGCCUACCAAGGCUACGAUCCGUAACUGGUCUGAGAGGAUGGAUCAGUCACACUGGAACUGAGACACGGUCCAGGACUCCGUA